GGCGCCCUGUGCUGAUGCUCACCGCGUGACUAUCCGUUAUGCAUCCUGUGUGCGCUCUGGCUCCAUCGGGGGGGCCCUGACGAGUCAGCAACAAACCAUGCAUUACCACGUUUUGC
Molecule: small nucleolar RNA, 116 nt
Filed under: Trypanosoma cruzi
Lineage: Eukaryota; Euglenozoa; Kinetoplastea; Trypanosomatida; Trypanosomatidae
Description: CD small nucleolar RNA (snoRNA)
Rfam family: Small nucleolar RNA TBR17
About the family: TBR17 is a member of the C/D class of snoRNA which contain the C (UGAUGA) and D (CUGA) box motifs. Most of the members of the box C/D family function in directing site-specific 2'-O-methylation of substrate RNAs.
Source: RNAcentral